CCCUUAGAUGUCCUGGGCUGCACGCGCGCUACGCUGAUGUGUCCAGUAAGCACCUAACCUCUUCCGAAAGGAACGGGUAACCUUUGCAAAGCACAUCGUGAUGGGGAUAGAUUAUUGCAAUUAUUAGUCUUGAACGAGGAAUUCCUAGUAAGCACAAGUCAUCAGCUUGUGUUGAUUACGUCCCUGCCCUUUGUACACACCGCCCGUCGCUACUACCGAUUGGAUGGCUUAGUGAGACCCUCGGACCGAUAGGCUGUCGCUGCAGCAAUGUGGCGACUGGCCCGUCUUGGGAAGAAGGUCAAACUUGACUGUCUAGAGGAAGUAAAAGUCGUAACA
Molecule: ribosomal RNA, 336 nt
Filed under: uncultured eukaryote
Lineage: Eukaryota
Description: partial 18S ribosomal RNA
Rfam family: Eukaryotic small subunit ribosomal RNA
Source: RNAcentral